This 70-nucleotide transfer RNA is filed under the name Psorodonotus venosus. RNAcentral's name for it is "tRNA-Val". It matches the Rfam family "tRNA". From Rfam's summary of the family: Transfer RNA (tRNA) molecules are approximately 80 nucleotides in length. Their secondary structure includes four short double-helical elements and three loops (D, anti-codon, and T loops). The record is from RNAcentral. Lineage: Eukaryota; Metazoa; Arthropoda; Insecta; Orthoptera; Tettigoniidae.
CAAAAUAAAGCUUAUAGUGAAGCAUUUCAUUUACAUUGAAAGGAUGUUCGUGCAAUUCGAAUUAUUUUGA